CCUACGGGAGGCAGCAGUGAGGAAUACUGGUCAAUGGACGAGAGUCUGAACCAGCCAAGUAGCGUGAAGGAUGACUGCCCUAUGGGUUGUAAACUUCUUUUAUAUGGGAAUAAAAUGUUCCACGUGUGGGAUUUUGUAUGUACCAUAUGAAUAAGGAUCGGCUAACUCCGUGCCAGCAGCCGCGGUAAUACGGAGGAUCCGAGCGUUAUCCGGAUUUAUUGGGUUUAAAGGGAGCGUAGGUGGAUUGUUAAGUCAGUUGUGAAAGUUUGCGGCUCAACCGUAAAAUUGCAGUUGAAACUGGCAGUCUUGAGUACAGUAGAGGUGGGCGGAAUUCGUGGUGUAGCGGUGAAAUGCUUAGAUAUCACGAAGAACUCCGAUUGCGAAGGCAGUUCACUGGACUGCAACUGACACUGAGGCUCGAAAGUGUGGGUAUCAAACAGGAUUAGAUACCCCUGUAGUC
This 460-nucleotide ribosomal RNA is filed under the name uncultured bacterium. RNAcentral's name for it is "partial 16S ribosomal RNA". It matches the Rfam family "Bacterial small subunit ribosomal RNA", at positions 338 to 795 of the family's 1533-position model. The record is from RNAcentral.